This 347-nucleotide long non-coding RNA is filed under the name Cavia porcellus (domestic guinea pig). RNAcentral describes it as "lncRNA (ENSCPOG00000036969.1)". The record is from RNAcentral. Lineage: Eukaryota; Metazoa; Chordata; Mammalia; Rodentia; Caviidae.
GCACACCUUGGCUGCGCUUCUGAGGGGCUCCCCCCCCCACCCGUCCUUCCCCUUCUCCUCCCUCAUCUUCCACAGAGGCACGAGCUGCAAUGGGGAGACCGGGACCCUGGAGCCUGGCUGGACUAUCAGCUUUGCCACUAAUGCAUCUGGACCCUGAGCCUGCAGCUCAGCCUUUACGUACCUUGGUUGCUCCUGUGAAAUGGGGUGACACUGGCCCCGACCUCAUGGAGUGUUCCCACAGUUUGGGACAGUACCCAGCCCCACACAGGUGCUCUGUGCACACACGGGAUGACCGCUCCCUGGGUGAGCUCUGCCGGGCAAAUGCAGGUACAAGCCAGCGCUGGUGA